UACGUACGAGGCAAGCGUUAUCCGGAAUUACUGGGCGUAAAGCGCGCGCAGGCGGAUGAGUAAGUGGGGCGUGAAAUCUCCCGGCCUAACUGGGAGGGGUCGCUCCAAACUGUUCGUCUUGAGGACUGCAGAGGUAGGUGGAAUUCCUGGUGUAGUGGUGAAAUGCGUAGAGAUCAGGAGGAACACCGGUGGCGAAGGCGGCCUACUGGGCAGUCUCUGACGCUGCGGCGCGAAAGCUCGGGGAGCGAACGGG
RNAcentral lists this ribosomal RNA (253 nucleotides) under uncultured bacterium. RNAcentral describes it as "partial 16S ribosomal RNA". It matches the Rfam family "Bacterial small subunit ribosomal RNA", at positions 524 to 776 of the family's 1533-position model. The record is from RNAcentral.